ACGACUCUCGGCAACGGAUAUCUCGGCUCUCGCAUCGAUGAAGAACGUAGCGAAAUGCGAUACCUGGUGUGAAUUGCAGAAUCCCGCGAACCAUCGAGUCUUUGAACGCAAGUUGCGCCCGAGGCCACACGGCCGAGGGCACGCCUGCCUGGGCGUCACGC
This 161-nucleotide ribosomal RNA is filed under the name Hordeum brachyantherum subsp. californicum. RNAcentral describes it as "5.8S ribosomal RNA". It matches the Rfam family "5.8S ribosomal RNA". Rfam says of the family: 5.8S ribosomal RNA (5.8S rRNA) is a component of the large subunit of the eukaryotic ribosome. It is transcribed by RNA polymerase I as part of the 45S precursor that also contains 18S and 28S rRNA. Functionally, it is thought that 5.8S rRNA may be involved in ribosome translocation. The record is from RNAcentral. Lineage: Eukaryota; Viridiplantae; Streptophyta; Magnoliopsida; Poales; Poaceae.